AAUUUAAAUAGUUUAAGAAAAAUAUUGAUUUGUGGAAUCAAAGUUAUAAUUUAUAUUUUAAAUUA
This 65-nucleotide transfer RNA is filed under the name Idgia oculata. RNAcentral describes it as "tRNA-His". The record is from RNAcentral. Lineage: Eukaryota; Metazoa; Arthropoda; Insecta; Coleoptera; Prionoceridae.